AUGACUCACUGCAGCCUUGAUCUCCUGGCCUCAGGUGAUCCUCCCACCUCAGCACUUUGGGAGGCCGAGGCGGGUGGAUCACGAGGUCAAGAGAUCAAGACUAUCCUGGUCAACAAGAUGACUAAAAAUACAAAAAUUAGCUGGGCAUGGUGGUGCGUGCCUAUAGUUUCAGCUACUCGGGAGGCUGAGGCAGGAGAAUUGCUUGAACCCAGGAGGUGGAGGUUGCAGUGAGCUGAGAUUGUGCCAUUGCAGUCCAGUCUGGGUAACAACAGCGAAACUCCAUGUCAAAAAAAAAAGAGAAUUACCUACUCGAUGAAGCAAACAAAACCCUGCAUGUGGACAUCGAUUUCAAAGCUAUAUUAUUCUCUCCAGAUGGUCUGCACUCCUAGAACCUGGGGACCUCGUCAGGAAAUGUUACUUGGAUUGGAAUUAGUGAGAAUAUACCAAAAUUUAGGAAUCUUGCCCAUCGAGGAGAUAACAUGUGAGAGUGCUGCUGAUGAAAUGAAGGAGCUUCCUUUUAGAUAAGAGUUAGGCAGGACUGGCUUUAUAAGACAGCUCACAAAGUCACUGCUGAUAAAAUAUACCUUAAAGAAGCUGCUCAAACCCUACCCAAACCAAGAUGGCCAGGAAAACGACCUCUGGUCAUUCUCACUGCUCUUCAUAUGUAAAUUAUGAACAUUAGCAUGGUAAAAGAAACUCCCACAGAUGCAAUGACAAUUUACCAACACCAUGGCAACGUCCAGAAAUUACCCUCUAUGCUCUGAAAGAAAGAGAAACCCUGGGUUCCAGGAAUUCCCUGUCACUUUCCUGGAAAACUCAUGAAGAAUACACUUCUUGUUUAGCAUAUGAUCAAUAAAUAACCAUAAAUAACCUCACGGCUGCUAUGCCUAUGGAGUAGCCUCCCUUUAUUUAUUUAUUUAUUUAUUUAUUUAUUUUUGGGUCGGAGUUUCGCUCUUGUUGCCCAAGCUGGAGUGCGAUGGCGUGAUCUUGGCUCACCUAAACUCUGCCUCCUGGGUACAAGUGAUUCUCCAGCCUCAGCCUCCUGAGUAGCUGGGAUUACAGGCACACACCCCCAUGCACAGCUAAUUUUUUGUAAUUUUAGUAGAAAGGGGGGGUUUCACCAUGUUAGCCAGGCUUGUCUUGAACUCCUGACCUCAGAUGAUCUGCCCACCUCCACCUCCCAAAGUGCUAGGAUUACAGGUGUGAGGCACUGUGAGGGAUCUGUGGGGAUUGCUCCCGUGUGAGGCCCCUAGGAAAUGGGCCUCGCCAUACGGUGAGCUUGAGCCCGGACACAGAUCCCCUGUUGGGGGAGUCGAGCUGAGGGAAAGCAGGAACUGAGAGAGGGACUAUGCUAUUCAAAAUAAUUAACAGACAUUACUUUAUGGAUAUGAGGACUUGGGAGGCAUUGUGUCCACUUUCGGCUCCUUAUGGUUUAUUGCUUGGUUGUGUUCAUUUUCGACCCUUGUUACCUUCAUUGUAAAAUAUUAACUUAAGUAUUUACACUUGGUAACUUACUUACCGUAACUUACUGGGUGUAACUGUAACUUACUUACCAUAACUUACUGGGCAUAACUGACUUACUGGGCUUAACUAACUUACUGGGCAUAACUUAGUGGGCAUAACUUGCUUACUGUAACUUAAGUAUGUUGAUCUGGCAUAAACAACAUUAACGUAAGAAAACUAUAUAAUGGAACAUAUUGCAAAAAUAAAAUUGCUGCUUGGACAUAGCCUAAGCCAGCCCUCCAGACUCUGCUUUUCUUUUUUCUUUCACUUCCACACACUCUCUCCCUCAGGUUGAACAAGACAUCUACGUUGGAGGUCUCGGGGACUCCCGCAGGUCGGUAGCCCCCCGGCAGACGUGCCGGACCCCAACACACUGUACCCAGCCUAUUUGUUUUUUAUUUAUUUAUUUAUUUUUUGUUUUUUUUUUUUUUUAGAUGGAGUCUCACUCUGUCGUCCUGGCUGAAAGUGCAGCGAUGUGAUCUUGGCUCACUGCACUUCCAGGUUCAAGCAAUUCUCUUGAGUAUCUGAGAUUAUAGGCAUGCCACCUGGCCAGGCUAAUUUUUGUAUUUUUAGUAGAGACGGGUUUCACCAUGUUGGUCAGGCUGGUCUUGAACUCCUGACCUUGUGAUCGAUCCACCUGCCUUGGCCUCCGAAAGUGCUGGGAUUACAGUCAUGAGCCAUUGUGUCUGGCUAUUUAUUUUUUUUGUUUUUUUAAAGAUAGUCUCACUCUGUCACCCAGGCCGGAGAGCAGUGGUGUGAGCUUGGCUCAUUGUAACCCCAUCUCCUGUGUUCAAGCUGGCUAAAACCCACCAAAACCAAGAUGGUGAUAAGAGUGACCUCUGGGUGUCCUGACUGGUACAAUUCUACCAGGACCAUGACACUUUGCUGUGCCAACUGUCACAAAUGCCAUUGCAAUGUCAGGAAGUUACCACAUAUGGUCUAAAAAAGGAGGAAUGAAUUAAUCUAUCCCUUGUUUAGCAUAUAAUCAAGAAAUAACCAUAAAAAUGGGCAACCAGCCACCCUCAGGGCUGCUCUGUCUGUGGAGUAGACAUUCUUUCAUUCCUUUACUUUCCUAAUAAACUCACUUUCACUUACUCUACCAACUCUCCCUGAAUUCUUUCUUGCAUGAGAUCCAAGAAUCCUC
Molecule: long non-coding RNA, 2647 nt
Filed under: Callithrix jacchus (white-tufted-ear marmoset)
Lineage: Eukaryota; Metazoa; Chordata; Mammalia; Primates; Cebidae
Description: lncRNA (ENSCJAG00000069756.1)
Source: RNAcentral